GCUCAGAUUGAACGCUGGCGGCAGGCUUAACACAUGCAAGUCGAGCGGUAACAGGAGAAGCUUGCUUCUCGCUGACGAGCGGCGGACGGGUGAGUAAUACUUAGGAAUCUACCUAGUAGUGGGGGAUAGCUCGGGGAAACUCGAAUUAAUACCGCAUACGACCUACGGGAGAAAGGGGGCAACUUGUUGCUCUCGCUAUUAGAUGAGCCUAAGUCGGAUUAGCUAGAUGGUGGGGUAAAGGCCUACCAUGGCGACGAUCUGUAGCUGGUCUGAGAGGAUGAUCAGCCACACCGGGACUGAGACACGGCCCGGACUCCUACGGGAGGCAGCAGUGGGGAAUAUUGGACAAUGGGGGCAACCCUGAUCCAGCCAUGCCGCGUGUGUGAAGAAGGCCUUUUGGUUGUAAAGCACUUUAAGCAGUGAAGAAGACUCCAUGGUUAAUACCCAUGGACGAUGACAUUAGCUGCAGAAUAAGCACCGGCUAACUCUGUGCCAGCAGCCGCGGUAAUACAGAGGGUGCAAGCGUUAAUCGGAAUUACUGGGCGUAAAGCGAGCGUAGGUGGCUUGAUAAGUCAGAUGUGAAAGCCCCGGGCUUAACCUGGGAACGGCAUCUGAUACUGUUAGGCUAGAGUAGGUGAGAGGAAGGUAGAAUUCCAGGUGUAGCGGUGAAAUGCGUAGAGAUCUGGAGGAAUACCGAUGGCGAAGGCAGCCUUCUGGCAUCAUACUGACACUGAGGUUCGAAAGCGUGGGUAGCAAACAGGAUUAGAUACCCUGGUAGUCCACGCCGUAAACGAUGUCUACUAGUCGUUGGGUCCCUUGAGGACUUAGUGACGCAGCUAACGCAAUAAGUAGACCG
RNAcentral lists this ribosomal RNA (856 nucleotides) under gamma proteobacterium HA-est-Is60-14. Its description in RNAcentral is "bacterial SSU rRNA". It matches the Rfam family "Bacterial small subunit ribosomal RNA", at positions 22 to 871 of the family's 1533-position model. Lineage: Bacteria; Pseudomonadati; Pseudomonadota; Gammaproteobacteria. The record is from RNAcentral.